This is a long non-coding RNA of Oncorhynchus tshawytscha (Chinook salmon), 609 nucleotides long. Lineage: Eukaryota; Metazoa; Chordata; Actinopteri; Salmoniformes; Salmonidae. The record is from Ensembl.
CUCUCUCUGUCCCUCUCUCUCUCUCUGUCCCUCUCUCUCCCUCUCUCUCUCUCUCUCUGUCCCUCUCUCUCUCUGUCCCUCUCUCUCUCUGUCCCUCUCUCUCUCUGUCUCUCCCUCCCUCUCUCUCUCUGUCCCUCUCUCUCUCUGUCUCUCCCUCCCUCUCUCUCUCUCCCUCUCUGUCUCUGUUUAACUCAACCCAGUGUAGUAGUAUGGUAUGUUCUUCGUCAUCACUACUACUGUCUUGCCAAACCAAGGAAGAAGAGGAAGGAAAGGGACGAUGUUGUUGUCGCUGGAAAAGCUGGACAACGUUUAUAUGCUUGAAAUCCAUUUUUUAUGUAUUGUAAUGUACAAUCCCCCUGAUAGGUGCCGAGCCGCCAGACGUAUUAUUCUCCUAUCUGAGAGACGCCCUGCGUAUUACCAUGGUUCUCCUAUCUGAGAGACGCCCUGCGUAUUACCAUGAUGAGGCUCUGUGGCUUUAAGACUUGACUGGGAGGAAUCACGUGUCUCAUUGUCAUUUACAUUGACGAUGACCCUGGAAAGCUUUAGUCUAUUAUAUAUAUAUAUAUAUCAGCACAGCACAAAGACCUGGGAGUUAGAGGGCUAACGGGG